RNAcentral lists this unclassified non-coding RNA (333 nucleotides) under uncultured fungus. Its description in RNAcentral is "partial contains 5.8S ribosomal RNA and internal transcribed spacer 2". The stretch from base 1 to 133 matches the Rfam family "5.8S ribosomal RNA", at positions 22 to 154 of the family's 154-position model. Lineage: Eukaryota; Fungi. The record is from RNAcentral.
UGGUUCUGGCAUCGAUGAAGAACGCAGCGAAAUGCGAUAAGUAAUGUGAAUUGCAGAAUUCAGUGAAUCAUCGAAUCUUUGAACGCACAUUGCGCCCAUUAGUAUUCUAGUGGGCAUGCCUGUUCGAGCGUCAUUUCAACCCUUAAGCCCCUGUUGCUUAGCGUUGGGAGCCUACAGAUGCCCUCUGUAGCUCCCUAAAGUCAGUGGCGGAGUUAGCUUCAACUCUAGACGUAGUAAAUCUUUUAUCUCGCCUAUAGAUGAGCUGGCUUCUCGCCGUAAAACCCCCCCUAAUCUUUCAAGGUUGACCUCGGAUCAGGUAGGAAUACCCGCUGA